This 253-nucleotide ribosomal RNA is filed under the name uncultured bacterium. Its description in RNAcentral is "partial 16S ribosomal RNA". It matches the Rfam family "Bacterial small subunit ribosomal RNA", at positions 524 to 776 of the family's 1533-position model. The record is from RNAcentral.
UACGGAGGGUGCAAGCGUUGUUCGGAAUCAUUGGGCGUAAAGAGCGUGUAGGCGGCUGGACAAGUCUGAUGUGAAAGCCCGGGGCUCAACCCCGGAAGUGCAUUGGAAACUGUCCGACUUGAGUACUGGAGAGGAUGGGGGAAUUCCCGGUGUAGAGGUGAAAGUCGUAGAGAUCGGGAGGAAUACCAGUGGCGAAGGCGCCCAUCUGGACGGAUACUGACGCUGAGACGCGAAAGCGUGGGGAGCAAACAGG